UCUCCCCUGCUCUGUUUGUGAUUGAUUCGUAUAAUUCAGAACCAAUGUAAUUCGAUUAGGGAGCUUUCCCUGAGUAGUGGACGGCAUGCCCCGUAAGGGGACGUCGGCAAACCGCGCACAAGGCACCCACCUGUCAACAGGUUCGAAUUUGGGUCGACACGGCAACAGCGGGGAAGAU
This 178-nucleotide non-coding RNA is filed under the name Pseudomonadota bacterium. RNAcentral describes it as "Proteobacteria bacterium (cold seep metagenome) 6S RNA". It matches the Rfam family "6S / SsrS RNA". Rfam says of the family: E. coli 6S RNA was the first non coding RNA to be sequenced, but its function was unknown until recently. The record is from RNAcentral. Lineage: Bacteria; Pseudomonadati; Pseudomonadota.